Molecule: ribosomal RNA, 556 nt
Filed under: Grandivesica nr. agnew Msp191
Lineage: Eukaryota; Metazoa; Arthropoda; Insecta; Hemiptera; Miridae
Description: partial large subunit ribosomal RNA
Rfam family: Archaeal large subunit ribosomal RNA
Source: RNAcentral
ACCUCUAGCAUUACCAGUAUUAGUCGCCUGUUUUACAAAAACAUGGUCUUUUGUUUAUAUAAAAGAUCUGGCCUGCCCAAUGAUUUUUUUAAUGGCUGCAGUAUUUUGACUGUACAAAGGUAGCAUAAUCAUUUGUCUCUUAAUUGGAGUCUGGAAUGAAUGGUUGGAUGAAAGGUUUACUUUCUUUAUUUUAAAUAUAAAAUUUAAUUUUUGAAUCAGAAAGUUUAGAUAUUAAUAUAGGACGAGAAGACCCUAUAGAACUUUAUUUAUAAGAAAUAUUUAUUAAUUUGUAAAUUAUGAAUAUAUAUUUUUAUAUAAAUUUUAUUGGGGUGAUAAAAAAAAUUUUUUAACUUUUUUUAUUUUUAUCAUUUAUGUAUGUAUUUUUGAUCCUUUAAUAAGGAAUAAAAGAAUAAGUUACCUUAGGGAUAACAGCGUUAUUAUUUUAGAGAGUUCAUAUUGAUAAAAUAGUUUGCCACCCCUAUUUUGGAUUCAAAUUAGCCUCAGGGGCAGAAUAUUGAUGGCUAAAUCUGUUCGACUUUUAAAUUUUUACAUGAUC